UAUCUCUCCGUACGGGGAAGGAUGAGAAGCUUCGACUAAGGUUCGAUUCGAGCGCAGCGAGAAAGCGUUGCCGCAGGCAACGACCCGAAGGGCGAAGCGCGCAGCGCUGAGUAAUCCUUCCCCCACCACCA
RNAcentral lists this small RNA (131 nucleotides) under Salmonella enterica subsp. enterica serovar Infantis. RNAcentral's name for it is "RtT sRNA". It matches the Rfam family "RtT RNA". Rfam says of the family: This family represents a bacterial cis-regulatory element known as RtT RNA. The exact function of RtT is unknown although it is thought that it may be involved in changing the cellular response in relation to amino acid starvation. RNAcentral also lists the same sequence under 63 other names. Lineage: Bacteria; Pseudomonadati; Pseudomonadota; Gammaproteobacteria; Enterobacterales; Enterobacteriaceae. The record is from RNAcentral.